RNAcentral lists this ribosomal RNA (410 nucleotides) under Acanthamoeba genotype T4. RNAcentral describes it as "SSU rRNA". It matches the Rfam family "Eukaryotic small subunit ribosomal RNA", at positions 739 to 1115 of the family's 1831-position model. The record is from RNAcentral. Lineage: Eukaryota; Discosea; Longamoebia; Acanthamoebidae.
UGGCCCAGAUCGUUUACCGUGAAAAAAUUAGAGUGUUCAAAGCAGGCAGAUCCAAUUUUCUGCCACCGAAUACAUUAGCAUGGGAUAAUGGAAUAGGACCCUGUCCUCCUAUUUUCAGUUGGUUUUGGCAGCGCGAGGACUAGGGUAAUGAUUAAUAGGGAUAGUUGGGGGCAUUAAUAUUUAAUUGUCAGAGGUGAAAUUCUUGGAUUUAUGAAAGAUUAACUUCUGCGAAAGCAUCUGCCAAGGAUGUUUUCAUUAAUCAAGAACGAAAGUUAGGGGAUCGAAGACGAUCAGAUACCGUCGUAGUCUUAACCAUAAACGAUGCCGACCAGCGAUUAGGAGACGUUGAAUACAAAACACCACCAUCGGCGCGGUCGUCCUUGGCGUCUCGGUUCUUCACGGGGCCGGGG